UGCCGUGGGCGCUGGAGAAUUGAGGGGGGCUGCUCCUAGUACGAGAGGACCGGAGUGGACGCAUCACUGGUGUUCGGGUUGUCAUGCCAAUGGCAUUGCCCGGUAGCUAAAUGCGGAAGAGAUAAGUGCUGAAAGCAUCUAAGCACGAAACUUGCCCCGAGAUGAGUUCUCCCUGACCCUUUAAGGGGCCUGAAGGAACGUUGAAGACGACGACGUUGAUAGGCCGGGUGUGUAAGCGCAGCGAUGCGUUGAGCUAACCGGUACUAAUGAACCGUGAGGCUUAACCUU
RNAcentral lists this ribosomal RNA (288 nucleotides) under Enterobacter asburiae. Its description in RNAcentral is "partial 23S ribosomal RNA". It matches the Rfam family "Bacterial large subunit ribosomal RNA", at positions 2643 to 2925 of the family's 2925-position model. The record is from RNAcentral. Lineage: Bacteria; Pseudomonadati; Pseudomonadota; Gammaproteobacteria; Enterobacterales; Enterobacteriaceae.